This 243-nucleotide long non-coding RNA is filed under the name Mytilus galloprovincialis (Mediterranean mussel). Lineage: Eukaryota; Metazoa; Mollusca; Bivalvia; Mytilida; Mytilidae. The record is from RNAcentral.
GGAUAUUGGAUACCUUGUCUAAAUUUAUACAUGCUCAUAAUUACCUGACGAAACGAAACACGCUGUCAGAAUAUUGUGACAUAUUACAUGUAGCAAUGAAAUUUAUGAAUGUCCCUUGAGUUGGCUACUUUUGAUGAUUUUUUUGUAUUGCAUAAUGAGACUGAAUUCAAUGACGUUUUUUUUUAUUGAAGAACGCGCUAAUUUAUAAAGUACAAAAUUAUUGUAUUUAAUUGUCGCUUUUUA